This 2111-nucleotide long non-coding RNA is filed under the name Salmo salar (Atlantic salmon). RNAcentral describes it as "lncRNA (ENSSSAG00000102793.1)". The record is from RNAcentral. Lineage: Eukaryota; Metazoa; Chordata; Actinopteri; Salmoniformes; Salmonidae.
GUUGGAUGGUGUUUCCAGGUUCCAGGUUGGGUGGUGUUUUCAGGUUCCAGGUUGGGUGGUGUUUCCAGGUUGGGUGGUGUUUCCAGGUUCCAGGUUGGGUAGUGGUUCCAGGUUGGAUGGUGUUUCCAGGUUGGGUGGUGUUUCCAGGUUCCAGGUUGGGUAGUGGUUCCAGGUUGGAUGGUGUUUCCAGGUUGGGUGGUGUUUCCAGGUUCCAGGUUGGGUGGUGGUUCCAGGAUGGAUGGUGUUUCCAGGUUCCAGGUUGGAUGGUGUUUCCAGGUUCCAGGUUGGAUGGUGUUUCCAGGUUAGAUGGUGUUUCCAGGUUCCAGGUUGGGUAGUGUUUCCAGGUUGGAUGGUGUUUCCAGGUUCCAGGUUGGAUGGUGUUUCCAGGUUCCAGGUUGGAUGGUGUUUCCAGGUUCCAGGUUGGAUGGUGUUUUCAGGUUCCAGGUUGGAUGGUGUUUCCAGGUUCCAGGUUGGAUGGUGUUUCCAGGUUCCAGGUUGCAUGGUGUUUUCAGGUUCCAGGUUGGAUGGUGUUUUCAGGUUCCAGGUUGGAUGGUGUUUCCAGGUUCCAGGUUGGAUGGUGUUUCCAGGUUCCUGGUUGGAUGGUGUUUCCAGGUUCCAGGUUGGAUGGUGGUUCCAGGUUCCAGGUUGGGUGGUGGUUCCAGGUUCCAGGUUGGGUGGUGGUUCCAGGUUCCAGGUUGGGUGGUGUUUCCAGGUUCCAGGUUGGGUGGUGUUUCCAGGUUCCAGGUUGGGUGGUGUUUUCAGGUUCCAGGUUGGGUGGUGUUUUCAGGUUCCAGGUUGGGUGGUGUUUUCAGGUUCCAGUUUAGGUGGUGUUUUCACGUUCCAGGUUCGGGGGAUGUUUCCAGGUUCCAGGUUGGGUGGUGGUUCCAGGUUCCAGGUUGGAUGGUGUUUCCAGGUUGGAUGGUGUUUUCAGGUUCCAGGUUGGAUGGUGUUUCCAGGUUGGAUGGUGUUUCCAGGUUCCAGGUUGGAUGGUGUUUUCAGGUUCCAGGUUGGAUGGUGUUUCCAGGUUCCAGGUUGGAUGGUGUUUCCAGGUUCCAGGUUGGGUGGUGUUUCCAGGUUCCAGGUUGGGUGGUGGUUCCAGGUUGGAUGGUGGUUCCAGGUUGGAUGGUGGUUCCAGGUUCCAGGUUGGGUGGUGUUUCCAGGUUCCAGGUUGGGUGGUGUUUUCAGGUUCCAGGUUGGGUGGUGUUUCCAGGUUCCAGGUUGGGUGGUGUUUCCAGGUUCCAGGUAGGAUGGUGUUUCCAGGUUCCAGGUUGGAUGGUGUUUCCAGGUUCCAGGUUGGGUGGUGUUUCCAGGUUGGGUGGUGUUUCCAGGUUCCAGGUUGGAUGGUGUUUCCAGGUUCCAGGUUGGAUGGUGUUUCCAGGUUCCAGGUUGGAUGGUGUUUCCAGGUUCCAGGUUGGAUGGUGUUUCCAGGUUCCAGGUUGGGUGGUGUUUCCAGGUUCCAGGUUGGAUGGUGUUUCCAGGUUGGGUGGUGGUUCCAGGUUCCAGGUUGGAUGGUGUUUCCAGGUUCCAGGUUGGGUGGUGUUUCCAGGUUGGAUGGUGUUUCCAGGUUCCUGGUUGGAUGGUGUUUCCAGGUUCCAGGUUGGAUGGUGUUUCCAGGUUCCAGGUUGGAUGGUGGUUCCAGGUUCCAGGUUGGAUGGUGUUUCCAGGUUCCAGGUUGGGUGGUGUUUUCAGGUUCCAGGUUGGGUGGUGUUUUCAGGCUCCAGGUUGGGUGGUGUUUCCAGGUUCCAGGUUGGAUGGUGUUUCCAGGUUCCAGGUUGGAUGGUGUUUCCAGGUUCCAGGUAGGAUGGUGUUUUCAGGUUCCAGGUUGGAUGAUGUUUUCAGGUUCCAGGUUGGAUGGUGUUUCCAGGUUGGGUGGUGUUUCCAGGUUCCAGGUUGGGUGGUGUUUCCAGGUUCCAGGUUGGGUGGUGGUUCCAGGUUGGGUGGUGUUUCCAGGUUCCAGGUUGGGUGGUGGUUCCAGGUUGGAUGGUGUUUCUAGGUUCCAGGUUGGGUGGUGGUUCCAGGUUCCAGGUUGGGUGGUGGUUCCAGGUUGGAUGGUGUUUCCAGGUUCCAGGUUGGGUGGUGUUUCCAGGUUCCAGGUUGGAUGGUGUUUUCAG